UUUCUGACUUAGGACAGGUGCAAACAUUUGCAGCGGGAUUAAACGUUUUUAUGGAUCCAAACCUUCUCCCUUUUUCUGAAACAAUAGCAUAACAUCACAACUAGAAAAACACACGAUAAAAUAUCAAUUGGCAGGCUUAACUCAAUCAAAAAACCUACAUUAAUACACUAUAAACGAAUAAAUUUGAUCUGCGAUAUCUGAAUGCAA
Molecule: long non-coding RNA, 207 nt
Filed under: Mytilus galloprovincialis (Mediterranean mussel)
Lineage: Eukaryota; Metazoa; Mollusca; Bivalvia; Mytilida; Mytilidae
Source: RNAcentral